RNAcentral lists this transfer RNA (72 nucleotides) under Parcubacteria group bacterium ADurb.Bin305. RNAcentral's name for it is "tRNA-Lys". It matches the Rfam family "tRNA". Rfam says of the family: Transfer RNA (tRNA) molecules are approximately 80 nucleotides in length. The record is from RNAcentral.
GCCCCUGUAGCUUAAUGGCAAAGCAGCGGCCUUUUAAGCCGUUGAUGGGGGUUCGAUUCCCUUCAGGGGCAC